This 257-nucleotide long non-coding RNA is filed under the name Heterocephalus glaber (naked mole-rat). Its description in RNAcentral is "lncRNA (ENSHGLG00000043684.1)". The record is from RNAcentral. Lineage: Eukaryota; Metazoa; Chordata; Mammalia; Rodentia; Bathyergidae.
CGAUGAUGACUUUGUUGUUGGCCAUGUGAACCAAAGUUCCUGUGACAGUGAAAUGGAGCAAGAAUCAACCUAUACAGCACAGGGAAUCCAGAUCUUGAUUCAGACAACAAAGAAAACAGAAAUGCAAAGAAACAGAGGCCAGAGAGUUUGCAGUGCUGAACCGGUUGGAGAGAAGGCUGGCCCGGAGCCAGGUCUGUGUGGCCCACAGCCCAGGUUCUUGCCUCUGUCCCGCUGCCUUGCGGCUGGAGCGUGGGGGC